Molecule: long non-coding RNA, 2178 nt
Filed under: Equus asinus (donkey)
Lineage: Eukaryota; Metazoa; Chordata; Mammalia; Perissodactyla; Equidae
Description: lncRNA (ENSEASG00005025152.1)
Source: RNAcentral
GGGGAGGCAGGGGACGAGGGACCGAGGGACGGACCGAGGCUGGCUGGCUCAGGGUAGGAGUGACAGAGCAACGGACAGGUGGGAGCAGUUAGACAGCUUGAGACAGGGAGACUGGAACGCAGAGAGAGGGAGAGAGAGAACGAAAGAGAGAGAGAGUGUGUGAGAAAAAGAGAGAGAGCGUAGCACUCGCGUGCUCCCUCCCUUCCAGACGCCCUCCUCUGUCCGAGGGAAGCAACCGGGACACUGGUGGGAGAGGGAGAGAGAUGCGGGCUCAGAAGACGGGAAGAGGGACCCUGCAUCGCUAGGCGGACCGAGACGCGGAGGGACGGACAGAUUGACUUAUGCACGGACUGACAGCCAGCGAGAGUGGCAGCUCGGAGAGCGGAGCGCAGGAAAGCUAGAAUCCCGCGCUGAGCUGCCAGGCUGAGCCACAGACGGUCAGACAAACAGACGUGCAGAGGGACAGACUGGCAGACAGGAGGUGGGGGCACGUUCACUCCCUGCAGCCAGCCGGGCAGAGAAGGCGGCGGCGGCUCCCCCUGAGCGCGUCCGGAGCUGCGACAAGCAGCAGGGGCAGUAGGGUCGCCAGCCGAAGCCACCACCGUCGCCGCAGCCUUGGCCGCCACAGCCCUGCGAGGAUCCCAGCCGACGCUGCAGAAAGCUCGUUUACCAGCAGUUAAAUAAAUCGACCAAAAAAAAAAAAAAAGCCAAGCCAAACCAAACAAAUCCAGCCAAAUCAAUCAUUGAGAAAUAAUAAUAUUAAUAAAAGCCAAAAACUAAAUCAAAUCAAUCAAGGCACCAAGACGCUGGGGGGAUAUCCACUGUUCGGUCAAGAUACUAGACCUUACAGUACUUGGAAGCUGCUCCCCUGUUGGUCAGGCGUGAAUGCUGUCUGGUCAAAUCAGAAGCCUGUCCCAAAAGUCUGCUACUGGUCUGAGGAGUCUGCUUUUUCAACUACCUUGGGGGGACACAGGGAGCUGAUCUACUCACACACUGAACCAUGUGCAAGAUGACAUCUAUGAAUGGUGGGCCCAGCCACCAGGGGACCACUUGCUCUCCUACAUCUGUUUGUUCUUGGCUUCAGUUUCUGACUCUGGUCUGAUCCUUCUCGAUGUGAGCAGUCAAACUCUGCCUCCAACCCCUCCGCCUGCAAGCAUACCCUAAGUGUACAUGUCCACCUGAACCUUGCUCCUUUGCCCCUUGCCAUUGGCUAUAACCAGUACCCUCCUUUCUGAUCUGUGCACUCCAUGCCUGGAGAAAGGUCUGGAAAGUGAGAGCCAUACUUGGGCUCUGAGGGAGGAUGAGAGAGCGGUUGCUCCCAACCCUUCAGGGUAUGUAACAACAGGUUAAGAUAAUGAGAAACUUCCUUCUUAAAGUUAUCUUCUGGAUGAAUAAUUUUCCAGCUCAAAUGGAGAAUUAUUAACUAUUGACUGAGGACUUUGAGUAAAUGUUUCCUUUCUUUCUUGUAGGAUACCCCUCUCUUCAUCUUAUUGAAUGAGAAGGAGUUUUCUUUGAAUCGUGAAUUAACCUUAUCUAACACUUCCUUGAAAAUUAGUGAACUGCCCAAUAAGAAUUCAUUUAGUAUUCAUUGUUUCACAAACUUGGUAAAAAACAGAGAAGAGAAGUCCUUGCAACGCUAAGUUGAGUAACUCCUCAUUUUUAGGAGAUUGCAAAUUUCUUGAAGUCAGAUGCUGGACUGCAUCAGUCUUUGUAUCUCACACAAUUCCCUGCAGAAUGCCUUGCACCUAGUAGGAGCUGAGUAAAUAAUUGUUUAUCGACUCCACUGAAAUUAACAGGCCUGAUUACACACAUGAGCACACACUCAUGGAUUGUCUGGACAAUUAAAGCCAGGUCCUCCAAGAGGCCAAAUGUUUUACUUUGACCAAUUUAGAUACACAUCUUCUCAGCCUUGUAAAACAUCAAAUACUGAAUCAGAUUUAACGUUCUCUUAUCGAUUCAUUGUCAUAGUAUGAAAAUCAGUUAUUGAGCUGUGCUCAUGAGAAUAAUGAUUCAUGCUGUUAAACUUCAUUCAUGCUGUUAAACGAGGUGAGGCCUGUCCAGAAAUAGAAGUGGUGAAUGAUGGGACAUAAACAGGGAAAGUGAAAGUGACUCUGUGAGUCCUUCUUGGUAAAGUUCAUAGAGUACUGCUCAGCAUAUAGGAACACAAUAGAAGUGUUA